RNAcentral lists this ribosomal RNA (497 nucleotides) under uncultured bacterium. RNAcentral's name for it is "partial 16S ribosomal RNA". It matches the Rfam family "Bacterial small subunit ribosomal RNA", at positions 27 to 507 of the family's 1533-position model. The record is from RNAcentral.
GGGGGGGGGGGGGGGGGGGCGGGGGGCGGGGGGGGGGGGCGGGCAGGCGAGGGGCUUGCUCCUCUGACGUUAGCGGCGGACGGGGGAGUAACACGUGGAGAACCUACCUAUAAGACUGGGAUAACUUCGGGAAACCGGAGCUAAUCCCGGGUAAUAUAUUGAACCGCAUGGUUCAAUAGUGAAAGACGGUUUUGCUGUCACUUCUACAUCGAUCCGCGCCGCAUUAGCUAGUUGGUAAGGUAACGUCUUACCAAGGCAACGAUGCGUAGCCGACCUGAGAGGGUGAUCGGCCACACUGGAACUGAGACACGGUCCAGACUCCUACGGGAGGCAGCAGUAGGGAAUCUUCCGCAAUGGGCGAAAGCCUGACGGAGCAACGCCGCGUGAGUGAUGAAGGUCUUCGGAUCGUAAAACUCUGUUAUUAGGGAAGAACAAAUGUGUAAGUAACUAUGCACGUCUUGACGGUACCUAAUCAGAAAGCCACGGCUAACUACGUG